AGCUCCAAUAGCGUAUAUUAAAGUUGUUGCAGUUAAAAAGCUCGUAGUUGAAUUUCUGGCUGGAAGGGAGCGGUCCCGCAUCUUUGUGGGUACUUGCUCGUCUUCUGCCAUCCUUGGGCUUAGUCUCGCUGAUAUUAACUUAUCGGCGUGUACGAUGCCCAUCGUUUACUGUGAGCAAAUUAGAGUGUUCAAAGCAGGCUUAUGCCGUUGAAUAUAUUAGCAUGGAAUAAUAAGAUAGGACCUAGUGACUAUUUUGUUGGUUUGCGUUAUUAGGUAAUGAUUAAGAGGGACAGUUGUGGGUAUUCGUAUUCAGGUGUAAGAGGUGAAAUUCUUAGAUUAUCGGAAGACGAACGACUGCGAAAGCAUUGACCAAGGAUGUUUUCAUCA
RNAcentral lists this ribosomal RNA (387 nucleotides) under Chaetoceros sp. Its description in RNAcentral is "partial small subunit ribosomal RNA". It matches the Rfam family "Eukaryotic small subunit ribosomal RNA", at positions 587 to 975 of the family's 1831-position model. The record is from RNAcentral. Lineage: Eukaryota; Bacillariophyta; Thalassiosirophyceae; Chaetocerotales; Chaetocerotaceae.